ACGGAAGGCAGCAGUGGGGAAUAUUGCACAAUGGGGGAAACCCUGAUGCAGCGACGCCGCGUGAGUGAAGAAGUAUUUCGGUAUGUAAAGCUCUAUCAGCAGGAAAGAAAAUGACGGUACCUGACUAAGAAGCCCCGGCUAACUACGUGCCAGCAGCCGCGGUAAUACGUAGGGGGCAAGCGUUAUCCGGAUUUACUGGGUGUAAAGGGAGCGUAGACGGCUUUGCAAGUCUGAAGUGAAAGCCCGGGGCUCAACCCCGGAACUGCUUUGGAAACUGUAGAGCUAGAGUGCAGGAGAGGUAAGUGGAAUUCCUAGUGUAGCGGUGAAAUGCGUAGAUAUUAGGAGGAACACCAGUGGCGAAGGCGGCUUACAGGACUGUAACUGACGUUGAGGCUCGAAGGCGUGGGGAGCAAACAGGAUUAGAUACCCUGGUA
Molecule: ribosomal RNA, 434 nt
Filed under: uncultured Lachnospiraceae bacterium
Lineage: Bacteria; Bacillati; Bacillota; Clostridia; Lachnospirales; Lachnospiraceae
Description: partial 16S ribosomal RNA
Rfam family: Bacterial small subunit ribosomal RNA
Source: RNAcentral